UGCGUAGGGGGCUAGCGUUGUCCGGAUUUAUUGGGCGUAAAGAGCGCGCAGGCGGUCGUUCAAGUCGAGUGUGAAAGCCCCCGGCUCAACUGGGGAGGGUCACGCGAUACUGUUCGACUCGAAGGCAGGAGAGGGUAGUGGAAUUCCCGGUGUAGUGGUGAAAUGCGUAGAUAUCGGGAGGAACACCAGUGGCGAAGGCGGCUUCCUGGCCUGUUCUUGACGCUGAGGCGCGAAAGCUAGGGGAGCAAACGGG
Molecule: ribosomal RNA, 253 nt
Filed under: uncultured bacterium
Lineage: Bacteria
Description: partial 16S ribosomal RNA
Rfam family: Bacterial small subunit ribosomal RNA
Source: RNAcentral